CAGCAGCCGCGGUAAUACAGAGGGUGCGAGCGUUAAUCGGAUUUACUGGGCGUAAAGCGUACGUAGGCGGCUUCUUAAGUCGGAUGUGAAAUCCCUGAGCUUAACUUAGGAAUUGCAUUCGAUACUGGGAAGCUAGAGUAUGGGAGAGGAUGGUAGAAUUCCAGGUGUAGCGGUGAAAUGCGUAGAGAUCUGGAGGAAUACCGAUGGCGAAGGCAGCCAUCUGGCCUAAUACUGACGCUGAGGUACGAAAGCAUGGGGAGCAAACAGGAUUAGAUACCCCCGUAGUCCCUGUCUAUUAUAC
Molecule: ribosomal RNA, 301 nt
Filed under: uncultured bacterium
Lineage: Bacteria
Description: partial 16S ribosomal RNA
Rfam family: Bacterial small subunit ribosomal RNA
Source: RNAcentral